Molecule: long non-coding RNA, 200 nt
Filed under: Capsicum annuum
Lineage: Eukaryota; Viridiplantae; Streptophyta; Magnoliopsida; Solanales; Solanaceae
Description: long non-coding RNA (CANN_LNC004277)
Source: RNAcentral
GGUGUCGUAUCUAUGUUAUGCCAUCUGCUUCUGUGCUUCUGUGCUGUACUAUGUGUUUGUGUGAUAUCUCGUGACUUGAGCCGGGGGUCUUUCGGAAACAGCCUUUCUACUUCAUCAGAGGUAGAGGUAUGGACUGCGUACAUCUUACCCCCCCCAGACCCCACUAAGUGGGAAUACACUGGGUUUGUUGUUGUUGUUGU